RNAcentral lists this ribosomal RNA (447 nucleotides) under uncultured bacterium. Its description in RNAcentral is "bacterial SSU rRNA". It matches the Rfam family "Bacterial small subunit ribosomal RNA", at positions 328 to 792 of the family's 1533-position model. The record is from RNAcentral.
UUACCAGACUCCUACGGGAGGCAGCAGUGGGGAAUAUUGCACAAUGGGGGAAACCCUGAUGCAGCGACGCCGCGUGAGCGAUGAAGUAUUUCGGUAUGUAAAGCUCUAUCAGCAGGGAAGAAAAUGACGGUACCUGACUAAGAAGCCCCGGCUAACUACGUGCCAGCAGCAGCGGUAAUACGUAGGGGGCAAGCGUUAUCCGGAUUUACUGGGUGUAAAGGGAGCGUAGACGGCAGUGCAAGUCCGGAGUGAAAGCCCGGGGCUCAACCCUGGGACUGCUCUGGAAACUGUAAAGCUGGAGUGCGGGAGGGGCAGGCGGAAUUCCUGGUGUAGCGGUGAAAUGCGUAGAUAUCAGGAGGAACACCGGCGGCGAAGGCGGCCUGCUGGACCGUAACUGACGUUGAGGCUCGAAAGCGUGGGGAGCAAACAGGAUUAGAUACCCCUGUA